ACGAAUCUUUCCCUUAAUUUUACCCUUACCCUCACUCUCUUUCACUCUGAAAAAUUGAAAUUAAACUAAAAUACAUGUUAUUUAGUUUCUUGGCUUUCUCCUAAGAUAUAAUAUGUUUAGUAUCCCUGCACUAUGUUUUAAUUCUGUAAAAUGACAAGGGUAUUGAUGUGUCUUUUAUUGAGUCGAAUUAUAUGAACCCUUUUCUUUUGUUGCUAAACUUGGCAUUGCCUGUACUUCCA
Molecule: unclassified non-coding RNA, 239 nt
Filed under: Hevea brasiliensis (rubber tree)
Lineage: Eukaryota; Viridiplantae; Streptophyta; Magnoliopsida; Malpighiales; Euphorbiaceae
Source: RNAcentral